GACAAACGCUGGCGGCGUGCCUAAUACAUGCAAGUCGAACGACGAAAGCCUUCGGGCAAGUAAGAGUGGCGCACGGGCGAGGAACACGUAGAUAAUCUGCCCUUCAGUGGGGAAUAACUCUCCGAAAGGAGUGCUAAUACCGCAUAAGACCACAAGCUCUGCGGAGCAAGGGGUUAAAGGAUUUAUUCGCUGAAGGAUGAGUCUGCGUCCGAUUAGCUAGUUGGUGAGGUAAUGGCUUACCAAGGCAAUGAUCGGUAGAUGGUCUGAGAGGAUGAUCAUCCGCACUGGAACUGAGACACGGUCCAGACUCCUACGGGAGGCAGCAGUAGGGAAUAUUGCACAAUGGGGGAAACCCUGAUGCAGCAACGCCGCGUGAGUGAUGAAGGCUCUAGGGUCGUAAAGCUCUGUCGUAUGGGAAGAAAAAAAUGACGGUACCAUACAAGAAAGGACCGGCCAACUUCGUGCCAGCCGCCGCCGUAA
RNAcentral lists this ribosomal RNA (480 nucleotides) under uncultured bacterium. Its description in RNAcentral is "partial 16S ribosomal RNA". It matches the Rfam family "Bacterial small subunit ribosomal RNA", at positions 28 to 523 of the family's 1533-position model. The record is from RNAcentral.